RNAcentral lists this ribosomal RNA (560 nucleotides) under uncultured Alphaproteobacteria bacterium. RNAcentral describes it as "bacterial SSU rRNA". It matches the Rfam family "Bacterial small subunit ribosomal RNA", at positions 338 to 916 of the family's 1533-position model. The record is from RNAcentral. Lineage: Bacteria; Pseudomonadati; Pseudomonadota; Alphaproteobacteria.
CCUACGGGAGGCAGCAGUGGGGAAUCUUAGACAAUGGGCGCAAGCCUGAUCUAGCCAUGCCGCGUGUGUGAUGAAGGCCUUAGGGUCGUAAAGCACUUUCGCCAGGGAUGAUAAUGACAGUACCUGGUAAAGAAACCCCGGCUAACUCCGUGCCAGCAGCCGCGGUAAUACGGAGGGGGUUAGCGUUGUUCGGAAUUACUGGGCGUAAAGCGUACGUAGGCGGAUCAGAAAGUAAGGGGUGAAAUCCCAGGGCUCAACCCUGGAACUGCCUCUUAAACUCCUGGUCUUGAGUUCGAGAGAGGUGAGUGGAAUUCCGAGUGUAGAGGUGAAAUUCGUAGAUAUUCGGAGGAACACCAGUGGCGAAGGCGGCUCACUGGCUCGAUACUGACGCUGAGGUACGAAAGUGUGGGGAGCAAACAGGAUUAGAUACCCUGGUAGUCCACACCGUAAACGAUGAAUGCCAGUCGUCGGGCAGUAUACUGUUCGGUGACACACCUAACGGAUUAAGCAUUCCGCCUGGGGAGUACGGUCGCAAGAUUAAAACUCAAAGGAAUUGACGG